GAGUUUGAUCGUGGCUCAGGAUGAACGCUAGCGACAGGCUUAACACAUGCAAGUCGAGGGGCAGCGUGGUGUGGCAACACACUGACGGCGACCGGCGCACGGGUGAGUAACGCGUAUGCAACUUGCCUAUCAGAGGGGGAUAACCCGUCGAAAGACGGACUAAUACCGCAUGAAACAGGGGUCCCGCAUGGGGAUAUUUGUUAAAGAUUACAUCGCUGAUAGAUAGGCAUGCGUUCCAUUAGGUAGUUGGUGGGGCAACGGCCCACCAAGCCGACGAUGGAUAGGGGUUCUGAGAGGAAGGUCCCCCCACACUGGUACUGAGACACGGACCAGACUC
This 337-nucleotide ribosomal RNA is filed under the name uncultured bacterium. Its description in RNAcentral is "bacterial SSU rRNA". It matches the Rfam family "Bacterial small subunit ribosomal RNA", at positions 9 to 338 of the family's 1533-position model. The record is from RNAcentral.